This 253-nucleotide ribosomal RNA is filed under the name uncultured bacterium. RNAcentral's name for it is "partial 16S ribosomal RNA". It matches the Rfam family "Bacterial small subunit ribosomal RNA", at positions 524 to 776 of the family's 1533-position model. The record is from RNAcentral.
UACGUAGGGGGCAAGCGUUGUCCGGAAUCAUUGGGCGUAAAGAGCGUGUAGGCGGUCCGGUCAGUCGGUUGUGAAAGUCAAGGGCUCAACCCUUGAAUGCCGGCCGAUACUGUCAGGCUAGAGUCCGGAAGAGGCGAGUGGAAUUCCUGGUGUAGCGGUGAAAUGCGCAGAUAUCAGGAGGAACACCUAUGGCGAAGGCAGCUCGCUGGGACGGUACUGACGCUGAGACGCGAAAGCGUGGGGAGCAAACAGG